UACGAAGGGGGCUAGCGUUGCUCGGAAUGACUGGGCGUAAAGGGCGCGUAGGCGGUUUGUACAGUCGGAUGUGAAAUUCCUGGGCUUAACCUGGGGGCUGCAUUCGAUACGUGCAGGCUCGAGUGUGGAAGAGGGUUGUGGAAUUCCCAGUGUAGAGGUGAAAUUCGUAGAUAUUGGGAAGAACACCGGUGGCGAAGGCGGCAACCUGGUCCAUGACUGACGCUGAGGCGCGAAAGCGUGGGGAGCAAACAG
RNAcentral lists this ribosomal RNA (252 nucleotides) under uncultured bacterium. RNAcentral describes it as "partial 16S ribosomal RNA". It matches the Rfam family "Bacterial small subunit ribosomal RNA", at positions 524 to 775 of the family's 1533-position model. The record is from RNAcentral.